Peromyscus californicus insignis is the source of this 573-nucleotide long non-coding RNA. RefSeq lists it as uncharacterized. The record is from RefSeq and is a predicted model, not a curated record. Lineage: Eukaryota; Metazoa; Chordata; Mammalia; Rodentia; Cricetidae. The transcript is spliced from 3 exons.
GGAGCGGGGCGACCCACAGGCCCCGGGAGGGGGGGGGGGGGGGGCGGAGCGAAGGAGGCCCCGCCCACUCGUGAGUCCAGCGCCCGGGCCUUCGAGGAUCUCCAACAAGACCCAGGGCUUGGCAGGCUGGGAGUAAGGAAACUUGGCCGCUGGCCACCCCGAGGAGACUGGGAAACCUUUGGUCAACAGGGAGCCUUUCCUUGACUGGGAAGUAAGAUCCAAAACAAAACUCCCCAAGGCCGGAAAGGGAGGAAACGCCCAGUGUCGCCUGCAAGACUCAGGCACUGCUGCUGCCGGUCACAAGGGAGCCAGCCAGCCUGGACCGCCUGACGAGAGCAGGCGUGACCCGAACCGUGACCCUUCCAGGCUUGUUCACCAAGCCCACGCCUUUCAGUGGAGUAGUCUAGAGCUGAGACUAGAGCCAUAUCCUUUGUUUAUAACAUCGUUUUUGCUCUCGCCUUGCAGUUUUCCAUGGGUUAUGAUACCUCAAGUUUCAUCAACAUAAAGAAAAAUAUGAAGCCGGGCAGUGGUGGUGCAUGCCUUUAAUCCCAGCACUUGGGAGGCAGAGGCAGG